GAUGAACGCUGGCGGCGUGCCUAAUACAUGCAAGUCGAGCGAACGGACGAGAAGCUUGCUUCUCUGAUGUUAGCGGCGGACGGGUGAGUAGCACGUGGAUAACCUACCUAUAAGACUGGGAUAACUUCGGGAAACCGGAGCUAAUACCGGAUAAUAUUUUGAACCGCAUGGUUCAAAAGUGAAAGACGGUCUUGCUGUCACUUAUAGAUGGAUCCGCGCUGCAUUAGCUAGUUGGUAAGGUAACGGCUUACCAAGGCAACGAUGCAUAGCCGACCUGAGAGGGUGAUCGGCCACACUGGAACUGAGACACGGUCCAGACUCCUACGGGAGGCAGCAGUAGGGAAUCUUCCGCAAUGGGCGAAAGCCUGACGGAGCAACGCCGCGUGAGUGAUGAAGGUCUUCGGAUCGUAAAACUCUGUUAUUAGGGAAGAACAUAUGUGUAAGUAACUGUGCACAUCUUGACGGUACCUAAUCAGAAAGCCACGGCUAACUACGUGCCAGCAGCCGCGGUAAUACGUAGGUGGCAAGCGUUAUCCGGAAUUAUUGGGCGUAAAGCGCGCGUAGGCGGUUUUUUAAGUCUGAUGUGAAAGCCCACGGCUCAACCGUGGAGGGUCAUUGGAAACUGGAAAACUUGAGUGCAGAAGAGGAAAGUGGAAUUCCAUGUGUAGCGGUGAAAUGCGCAGAGAUAUGGAGGAACACCAGUGGCGAAGGCGACUUUCUGGUCUGUAACUGACGCUGAUGUGCGAAAGCGUGGGGAUCAAACAGGAUUAGAUACCCUGGUAGUCCACGCCGUAAACGAUGAGUGCUAAGUGUUAGGGGGUUUCCGCCCCUUAGUGCUGCAGCUAACGCAUUAAGCACUCCGCCUGGGGAGUACGACCGCAAGGUUGAAACUCAAAGGAAUUGACGGGGACCCGCACAAGCGGUGGAGCAUGUGGUUUAAUUCGAAGCAACGCGAAGAACCUUACCAAAUCUUGACAUCCUUUGACAACUCUAGAGAUAGAGCCUUCCCCUUCGGGGGACAAAGUGACAGGUGGUGCAUGGUUGUCGUCAGCUCGUGUCGUGAGAUGUUGGGUUAAGUCCCGCAACGAGCGCAACCCUUAAGCUUAGUUGCCAUCAUUAAGUUGGGCACUCUAAGUUGACUGCCGGUGACAAACCGGAGGAAGGUAGGGAUGACGUCAAAUCAUCAUGCCCCUUAUGAUUUGGGCUACACACGUGCUACAAUGGACAAUACAAAGGGCAGCGAAACCGCGAGGUCAAGCAAAUCCCAUAAAGUUGUUCUCAGUUCGGAUUGUAGUCUGCAACUCGACUACAUGAAGCUGGAAUCGCUAGUAAUCGUAGAUCAGCAUGCUACGGUGAAUACGUCCCCGGGUCU
Molecule: ribosomal RNA, 1372 nt
Filed under: uncultured bacterium
Lineage: Bacteria
Description: bacterial SSU rRNA
Rfam family: Bacterial small subunit ribosomal RNA
Source: RNAcentral